AAGCAAUAAUGCGUUAUAUUUGCAGUGGAAUAUGCGAUUAUGGAAGAAUGUGUGCAAUUCAAUGCACCUGUAAUAGCUUUGUUAAAAAGCGCCAGAUGUCGCUUCCGUAGUUAGUGAAAAGAUCGCGAAAGUGCAAGUCGGAAUUUGCAAGCCCGAGUGUGAUUUAAUUGAAAAAAAGAGAUAUAAAGCAUAUAAAAAACCAAUGCCAAACAUUGUACAGAUUUACGUUUGAUGGGACUACGAAAAAAAGUUUAUUCGGUUUAAAGAACAUGCGCCGCACAAAUCGAGCCGUGAAGUAAUAUAUGAUCUCAGAGAAGCUCAAAGCACUGCAGCCCAGAAAGAACACCACCAGGCCGCCAAUAUAAACUGAAAAAGAAAAGAGUUCCGUAAGGUUCUCCAUACAGGUAUUGCCCCGAAAACUCACCCAAGACAUCGGCAAAGGAGAAGAGCACUGUAGAUUAGCGCCCAAAAACCAGACACGCGAGCGCUAGCCACACAAGUGGUGUGGGUGAUGUGUGUGGGAGAGAAACCAGUAUUAAGCGGAAUAAGAACCAGGACAAGCACAACAUCAAAAAUAACAACAUCAUCAAAAUAA
Long non-coding RNA from Drosophila miranda, 595 nucleotides. RefSeq lists it as uncharacterized. NCBI's taxonomy places the organism in Eukaryota, Metazoa, Arthropoda, Insecta, Diptera, Drosophilidae. The record is from RefSeq and is a predicted model, not a curated record. The transcript has 3 exons.